CCAACAUUGAAUGAGUUGUGGGGGCAGAUAGCCAGGCAAGCCAUUGAGGAACAGUCUCAUGUUUUAGAGGGACCUUCAAUUCAGACUGUUCAGAUUACUGAUGAUGUCAGUGUCACCCGCAUAGGGGAUGAGGAGCAGAGUCAUGAGCCUACAUUGCACCAUCUACUUUCCUACACUCCUAUGUCCCUGCUCUUGCGCCUAAGGAUGUAGUGGAUCA
This 217-nucleotide long non-coding RNA is filed under the name Vigna radiata. RNAcentral describes it as "long non-coding RNA (VRAD_LNC006841)". Lineage: Eukaryota; Viridiplantae; Streptophyta; Magnoliopsida; Fabales; Fabaceae. The record is from RNAcentral.